RNAcentral lists this long non-coding RNA (1252 nucleotides) under Mus musculus (house mouse). Its description in RNAcentral is "long non-coding RNA chr14:101894983-101896235". Lineage: Eukaryota; Metazoa; Chordata; Mammalia; Rodentia; Muridae. The record is from RNAcentral.
GGUUGUGCUCGACCUAGACUGCUGGCAGUCUGAAUGGAAAGAAAGCCGCAUUAAAUGAGAAGAUAAGUAAUUGAAAGUGAGGAGAAACAAAAGUGGAAAGUGGUUCUUAGCUUUCAAAUGUGGAUGGCUGGGGCGCAGGGACCACCAUUAACCAUCACCAAGGAAAAGCAGCUUGAGAUUGGCUGUAUCAGCAGUAACAACAUGUCUGCUGAGGCCCAGUUUAAAAAAAAAAGUCUUUUUCAGAUAACAUUUCAGCAGGUCCCUAUUCAAGCAUAAGUGCGUAUUCACAAGUCAUUGGAAAUGAGUCAAAGAGGGGCAGAUUCCUGGCUGGAGCCUCCAGAGGCAUUUGCUUAGUAGUUACAACUGUAUUCCUGAACCAGCUCAGAGUAGAUUUAGAAAAAAAAAAAAAAAGUGAUAGUAGAUCUGGGGAGAAUACAAAACGUAGGUGCCCAAGGAUAUAGUAAUAUAAGUAAUAUAUGUUUAGUUACAAUGUAAUUAAGCUCAGAAUACAAUAAAGAGGAUUUCAGCUAGCCCACCUUUUAAAUUCUCUCUCAGACUCUCUCAUUGCUCUCAGGGAUGAGCUGGCCCCAGCCUUCCUGAGAGGUCUUUCUCAUCAGUGUGGUCUACACAGGGGUAGUAGUCACUUCCCAACUCGGCCACUAACUCUCUUGUAAGCAGUCUCUUUACUACAAGGGAGCAAGCUUUAUACUCUCCGAGAGUUCGAAGUCUGUUAGAAGAUCGUUUCUUUACAAUGGUCUUUAAAAUAUGUAGCAGUAAUGGGGGGAAAAGGUUUUGAAACCCUCCACUCUUGGCUUUAUUGCCUGAUUGCACAUAUCCGUAUACAGGGGCCACAAGUCGUGAACUCUGCCUGAUCAAGGAGAGGGUAACAGAGGUGGUUCUGAUGGGCUGUGGGAACGCCUCAUGGUCUUCUGUGAAUGGGUCCAGCUGCACAGCAGCAGAGUAGAUCUUAGAGAAUGGUUGAGCACAUUGUUUCAUGGUGUUGAACUUGAGGAGAAAAUAUCAGGUAGUCACUAAAUUAUUUAGUAAGGGCCUGAUAAAAAGAAAAAGAAAAAAAAAAAAAAACAGCCAAACUUGUACUAGGUUAUCUUUGAGGGGAUAUGGACAAAACAGACAAACUCAGACAGGUGUUAAUGACGUUUCCCCCCAAGAUAAUUUUAGAGUUGACCCCUCUAAAUACAAGCACCGGAUUACCACUUUUAGAACUGUUCAAGGUUAUUUUGACUACUUUGUG